This 435-nucleotide ribosomal RNA is filed under the name uncultured organism. RNAcentral describes it as "bacterial SSU rRNA". It matches the Rfam family "Bacterial small subunit ribosomal RNA", at positions 346 to 794 of the family's 1533-position model. The record is from RNAcentral.
GUGCACCAGGCGAGAAUUUUUCACAAUGGGGGAAACCCUGAUGGAGCGACGCCGCGUGGAGGAUGAAGGUAUUCGUAUCGUAAACUCCUGUCAAACGGGAACAAGAAAGUGAUAGUACCGUUAGAGGAAGAGACGGCUAACUCUGUGCCAGCAGCCGCGGUAAUACAGAGGUCUCAAGCGUUGUUCGGAUUCAUUGGGCGUAAAGGGUGCGCAGGCUGUGGGGGUAAGUCGGAUGUGAAAUUUAGGGGCUCAACCCCUAAACUGCAUUCGAUACUGCUCCGCUAGAGGACUGUAGAGGAGAUUGGAAUUCACGGUGUAGCAGUGAAAUGCGUAGAUAUCGUGAGGAAGACCAGUGGCGAAGGCGAAUCUCUGGGCAGUUCCUGACGCUCAUGCACGAAGGCCAGGGGAGCAAACGGGAUUAGAUACCCGUGUAGU